Molecule: ribosomal RNA, 106 nt
Filed under: Microcebus murinus (gray mouse lemur)
Lineage: Eukaryota; Metazoa; Chordata; Mammalia; Primates; Cheirogaleidae
Source: RNAcentral
GUUUACAGCCAUAUCACCCUGAAUGCGUCUGAUCUCAUCUGAUCUCAGAAGCUAAGCAGGGAUGGACCUGGUUAGUACUUGGAUGAGAGAAAAUAAAUAGUGAAUG